AGAAUCUUCCAUCCACUUCCAUUCAUUCCCAAAUGGCUACAACAGCCAGGUCUGGGCCAGGCUGAAGCCGGAGCCAGGGAUUCCAACCGGGUCUCCCAUGAAGAUGUCAGGGGUCCGUGUACUUGGGCUAUCAUGUGCUGCUGUUGCAGGGGAAUUAGCAGGAAGCUGGACUGGAAUUACAGUAGCUGGGACUCAAACCCAUACUCUGAUUAUGGGAUGCCAGUGUCGCAAGCAAUGGCUUAACUCUGUGUCACCAACCAGCCCCCACAGCGUGACUGCCUCUGUCAUAAACUUCAAAGGCUUAUUUGAAACUCAGAAGCUAAGAAUGCACUCUCUGUUCUGCUGUAUCCUCCAGUACUUCCUACAGGGCUGUGCUGUAAAUGUUCUAGCCGCCUCUCCGAUGGGGGAAGGAGUCAGGAGGAAAGCCUCAUUGAAUAGCAGUGUAGGACAGUGUCCUGGUUAGAACGGUUGGUUUACCCAGGGUGAGGGGUACCAGGGGAAAGGAGGGGAACUCUGCCCCGACUUGGGUUUUGCAAAAAUUUACCUGGGCAGCUUUGAUGGGGGAUGGCGCUAUGGAAGAUUAACUUCAGGAGCCAUUGUGUUCUAGGGAGAGAGGCACAAUGAGGAGGAAGGAAUUUACUACUCUGGCCCUUGCACAGGGCGUGGCUGUAACUGGGAUGCCUUGGUGCUGGCUCACAGGGGCACUGGGGGAGGAGAAUCUCAGGGGGCAAAAGCUGAGGGAGUCGUAGCAUCAGCAACCCAAGCAAUGGAGAAGGCUGGGUCCUCUGUCUGCCGGCUGCAGCAGGAACGACUCUGUUGGAAGCUGGAUGCCCUAGCCUUUGAGUAACGGCUGGGAGUGUCUCUGGGUUCCUUGUCACAAUCAUCAACAGAGCUCUCUGCUGUGGCCUGGGAAAGCAGUAGAAGAUGGCCCAAGUGCUUGGGCCCCUGUACCCACGUGGGAGACCUGAAAGAAGCUCCUGGCUCCUGGCUUCAGAUCGGUGCAGCUCCGGACAUUGCGGCCAUCUGCGGAGUGAACCAGUAGAUGGAAGACCUCUCUCUCUGUCUCUCCCUCUCUCUGUAACUCUUUCAAAUAAAUAAAAAUAAAUUUUAAAAAAAUAAAUAAGACUGACUGACUAAUAUGGUUGCUUUCUCACCCUUAGAAAGCAACCUGGAACCAACCAUGCUAUGGUUUCAAUGCAUCCCCCGAAAGUUCACGUGUUGGAAACUUUAUCCUCAAGGCCAUAUGUUGAUGGCAUUUGGAGAUGGGGCCUUUGGCAGAUGGUCUGGAUUAGAUGAGGUCAGGAGGGUGAGACCCCUAUGGUGGGAUUUGUGGUUUUCUAUUUUUUAAAUUUGUGUUUUAUUUUAGAAGGAAGAGACAGAGACACACAGAAAGAGACAGAAUCUUCCAUUUACUGGUUCACCCCCAAAUGCAUGCCAUAGUUAGGGGUGGGCCAGGCCGAGUCCAGGAGCCUGGAACCCAGCCUGGGUCUUUGACAUGGGCGGCAGGGAGUCAACUCUCUGAGCUGUCACCGGCUGCCUCCCAGGGUGUGCAUGAACAGAAAGCUGGGUCAGAAGUGGAGGAGCCGAGAUGGACACCAGGCACUCCAAUAUGGAACGCACGCAUCCUAAGGUGAUGUGGGCAGCGGAUAGGUUAACGUCUGAUCUGUGUUCUAGCCUCCCACAGAGACGGAAAUCCUAAGCAGAGCCUGGCAUCAUGUGCAAAUAGGAACAGAACUUAUUUGGCAAUGAGGGAAUAAACAUAUAUUCACAUGUGAGCCUGAGUCAUCCCACACUGAGAAAUACCCAACACGAGUGGGUGGAAGAAUUGCCCGGGCCGGCGCCGCGGCUCAGUAGGCUAAUCCUCCACCUUGUGGCGCCAGCACACCGGGUUCUAGUCCCGGCCGGGGCGCCGGAUUCUGUCCCGGUUGCCCCUCUUCCAGGCCAGCUCUCUGCUGUGGCCCAGGAGUGCAGGUGGAGGAUGGCCCAAGUGCUUGGGCCCUGCACCCCAUGGGAGACCAGGAGAAGCACCUGGCUCCUGGCUUCGGAUCGGCAUAGCUCUGGCCGUUGCGACCAUUUAGGGAGUGAACCAACAGAAGGAAGACCUUUCUCUCUGUCUCUCUCUCUCUCUCACUGCCUGUGACUCUACCUGUCAAAUAAAUAAAUUAAAAAAAAAACCACAAUGAGAUUUUUGAGGUCACAUUAGGAGUCUUUAUCAGCCAGCUGGCGACCACCCUCUCACAGAGCAGGUCCAGAGAAGACGGCCCCGAGGUGCAGUGGCCGGGCUUUUUUAAAGGCAGAAACUACAUUUUGGUGGCCUUGGCCAUUAUCAAGCAAGCAAGCAGGGUACAGAAGCCAGAAAUAUGCCGGUUACAGCCGGUCGAGCAGACCGAUGUCUGUCACUUGUUUCUCUCAAAGGAACAGUCCCUGCUCUGAAGCAACCAAGCAAGAUCACCUAUGACCCCCAGGCAGGCUGUGCCCCGUGGGAAAACCUUAAACUUACAGCCACCCUGCCACAAAAUGAGCUGAUGUUCGAGGCGCUUGUCCCAACCAAACUAAUCUCCUAAAAAGAACCCACGAGAAGAAAAUCAACACAUUUUAGAGGAAUACGACAGAAUCCAGAGUGCCCAAACCUAACAGUGACAAUGCAAUCUCGAGUCAUCUGACAAAGGUCUGUUUUCAGGGGAAGAGAAAAUCAGCAGAACCUGACCCGGAGGUGGCAGAUGAGGAUUUCAAAGCCGCCGUGCGAGCUGUGCUCUGCACAGUAAGGAGAACGUGUUCUAAGGAAGGGGCCGAUAGGCAGUCUCGGCACAGGGAGACAGACCGAGAAAGAACCAAACGGAAAUUCUGCAACUGUAAAAUGCGCUCUCUGAAGUAAAAAUGGUCCCGGGUAGGCUGAAGUCUCCAAGGAUGACAAAGAGAAGGUUCCAGGCCCCGUUGAGAAGUCAGGCACAAAAGGAAAAUGAAAAAACUGGCUCGAGGGCUGGGAACACAGAAUAAGAAACGCUGGUCUGCAGCGAUGGGGCGGAUCUCUGUGGUCGCUCGGAAAGCAUUCAGGAGCCUUGUUUCUUUCCCUUUUAAAAAAUAUUUUAAAAAGUUUAUUAUAGCUAUUUUGAAAUACUAACAAGAGAAGAAAAUCAACAUCAAUUUUGUAAAAAGAUUUAUUUGAAAGGCAGAGGUACAGAGAGAGCGAAGGAGAGAGAGAGUGAGUUUCCAUCUGCUGGUUCACUCCCCAAAUGGCAGCAACAGCCAAGGCUGGGCCAGGCCAAAGCCAGGAGCCAGGAGCUUCAUCCGGGUCUCCCAUGUGGGUGCAGGGGCUCAAAUACUUGGGCCAUCUUCAGCUGUGUUCCCAGGUGCAUUAGCAGGGAGCUGGGUUGCAAGUGGAGCAGCUGGGACUCAAACUAGUCCCAUAUAGGAUGCUGACACUGCAGGUGGAGGCUUAACCUUCGACGCCAUAGUGCUGGCCCUAAUAAACAUCAAUUUUAAUCUUACCACCUAGAAACAUCACUGUUUACAUUUUGGUAUGUAUUCUUCCAGUCUGCUAGAAUAUGUCAUUUUUAUUUUACCAAAAUAACAUCACAUUGUGUUUACUGUUUGAAAUACUUUUAUUUUUGUUUAUUACAAUUUUAUUUAUUUGUUUAUUUGCCAGGUGGGGAAGGAGAGAGAGAGAGAGAGAGAGGGAAUUUCUAUUCUGGGUUCCUGGCUUCAGCCUGGCCCAGCCCCAGCUGUUGUGGCCAUUUGGGGAGUGAUCCAGUAGAUGGAAGACCUCUUUUUGUCUUUCCUUAUCUAUCACUCUGCCUUUCUUUUUUCUUUUCCUUUUUUAUUUUUAAGAUUUAUUUAUUUAUUUGAAAGUCAGAGUUAUAGAGAGGGCUAGGCAGAGACAGAGGCAAAGAGAGAAAGGAGAGGAGGGAGGUCUUCCAUCAGCUGGUUCACUUCCCAAAUGGCUGCAAUGGCCAGGGCUGGACCCGGCCAAAGCCAGGGGCCAGGAGCUUCUGGGUCUCUCGUGUGGAUGACAGGGGCCCAAGCACCUGGCCACCUUCCACUGCUUUCCCAGGUCAUAGCAGAGAGCUGGAUCGGAGUGGAGCAGCUGGGACACAAACUGGUGCCCAUAUGGGAUGCCGGCACCCGUAAGGCGGAGGCCCCCCAAGCAGCAUCUUAACUGCUGUGCCAGACACCUGUCCCAGAGCAAUUUUUGGUAAUGUGAAAAAAUCAUUUUGAUGUAAUGGCAAAUGAAAAAUCCAGAAUGUAAAAUUUUAUGUAGGAUUUCUCAGCUCUGUAUAGACCAGCAGGAAAUCCAGCAAAAAUAUUAACCAAAGUGGUGUGUGAACUGGAAAUGCUUUCAGCUCCAAGGAACAGCAGACCUAGUUUCCGGUGGCUUGAACACAGACCGGUUCCCGUUUCUGUUGUACGUAGGGAAAGGAGGUGGUGGCAGAGGGCCUGGUGGCAGCAGCAGCACCACACCAGCACUGCGAGUCUCUUUCUUCAUGGUCCUGAGGUGGCUGCCCACGUUAGAGGCAGGAAGGAGGGAGGGGAGUGGCUUCAUACCUAUUGUGUCUGCUCCUUUGAUCAGCGACAUCAAGAACGCCCCCUCGCCCCGCCCAGCACCCAGCUAGCGUCUGCUUAUUUCCCUUAACCAAAUUGCAUCCCGCAGACACCCCAGGUAAGCGGAGCCUGCGGAACAGAGCGGCGAUGGGGAACAGGUGGGAACAUCUGUCAGGCUAAUAAGCAACGAUUCCCACUCUGCUUGUUCCUUGUACAUGAGCCUUGUGUGUGGGUGUUUGAACUCCUCUUUUUUUUCUUUUAAAUUAUGUAUUCAGUCAGUUUAUUUGAAAGGCAGAGAGAGAGAGAGAGAGAGAGAGAGAGAGAGAGAGAGAGUUCUAACCACAGUUCAUCCCCACAAAUGCCCACAAUGGCCAGGGCUGGGCCAGUCUAAAGCCCAGGCCAGGCAGUGGGUCUGGGCCUCCCACGUUGGGGCAGGAACCCAGCUACUGGAGCCAUCAUCUUCCUGCUGCUCCUCCGGCUGCAGUCAGCAGGAAGCUGGAAUGGGGAGCAGAGCUGGAUAUGGAACCCCGGUACUCAGAUGUGUGAUAUGGGUGUUACCACUGCAUUCUACACGCAUUAGUAAUCUCUAUAGAAAAAGACAACAGACACCAGUUUAAAAAUCCCUCUUGAGACCUUGGGCUUCUGUUUGUGGAGUUGUUGACAUUGUCAUCGGCCAGCCACGUGCUGACGCCAGGCAUCGCCGUGGCACCUCCGGUGACUCCCUCCCCUCACAGGGCGUGGCUGGCUGGGGCAGCUCUCACGUGUUGAGCUCCUGCCAGGCACUGUGCUGGCUCAUCUGAUCCAGCAACUAGGUUAAAUAACCCAAUCAAAGCUGGAUCCCAGAUGAUCGCACCAAGCUUUAAUUUUGGGAGUUCCUGCCACUUAGCAAGCUCAAGAAUGGUUGUGUUGAAUGAAGGCAGAGUCAAUGAAACCGUGGCUAUGUAGGUUUUUUUUUUUUUUAAACUGCACCAUUACUUGAUAAUUAUUUCUGGUAGAGCAGCCAUUCAUUUUAAUUAGCGCAAUUGAAAAAUAACAGGCUAUAAUCAUUGCCUGCAAGAGAGAAGCUCUGUGCUCCCUUGCCUGCAUCUCAUAGCCCUAAUUGCCGGAUGUAAAUAACUAAUAUGACUACGGAUGAAAAGCCAGCAGGGGAUUUGUUUCCUGAGAGGUCUUCAUAAAUCUUUACGAUGAGAUCAUUACACACACACACACACACACACACACAGCAGCAGAGAAAAUGCAGUGUGAACCUUCACGGAGCUUCAGGAAUCAUCCCCCUUUUGCUAACUUUUCUGCUUAUCUCCCUUCCUCCCAUUUAUUUUUAGAGUAUUUAGAGCAAACCCCAAGACUCAUUUCACGCAGGCAGUUCUGUAUCGGGAAUGAGAAGGCUUUUGUGUGUGGCCCUGCAUUUUGCUGUCUUCAGGCUCAGCAGGGGGACUGUUCUCACAAGCUACGAACCAAACCGGAAUCUACUUCCCUUCACUGAGACAUCUGGGGAGUGUUGCUUCUGAAACUAUUUUUGGUGUGAACAUGUCGCUCAAGCUGCCGCAGCUAUGUGGGAAUUUUGAAGUGUCAAAGGCGUAUGACUGCAGCUGGGCGGAGGCGAGUGGGCAGGGUUAUUACAAAGCCCAGCCAGCUCCUUUUCAGCUCCCUGCUCACCUCGGCUCUGAACGCCUUAGAAGGGCUGCACCCAGGUUAGGAUGCAAACGGUGGCACAGGUGUGGCUGGGAGGAGCUGGUGGUCUGGCAGAGGGGCCUUACGGGCCUGGGGACCCUUGGCAUCCUGGGAGAUCCUUGGAGGUGAUUCGUGGAGGGUUCCUUGGAGAAUGCCGGGGCUGUGUUUGCAGAUGGUUCCUCCAGGCCGGACCGAGAGUAACUUCCGGCUUCCGGUCGUGCUCCUAAGGAGCUUAGAAGUCGCCAAAUGAACAAGCCGAGAGCUCUCCUGAGAUCACUAAGAGAAGGGCGGGCACAGGGCAACGGCUGCCCUGCUGGAGAGACAGACAGCCCUCGCCACAGCGCACUGCCCACGGCAGGUCCUUCUACCUGGCACGUAAGGACCACCUUUCGACAGAGGCUACAAGGCGCACCAAAAAGCAAAACCCAGGGCUGGGCGUUUGGCAAGGCUGUUAGACACUGCUUGGAAUGCCUGCGGCCUAUACUGGAGGGCCUGGUUGGAGUCCAGCUUCACCUGUGAUCCAGCUUCUCGAUAAUGAAUGCGCUGGGAGGCAGCAGAUGUUGGUUCAAGUACUUGGUCCCUGCCACCCACACCAGGAGGCAUGCAUGAAGCUGAGUUCCUGGCUCCUGGCUCCUGGCUUUGGCCUGACUGUUAGGGGCAUUUGUGGAGUGAACCAGCAGGUGGGCUCUCCCCCUCUCUCUGCUUUUCAACUAAAAUUUAAAGAAUUAAAAGGUGAAAACUGCAGUUUGAGGAGUAGGCAUGAGCACCAGACUGAGAUACACCGGGGAUACUGGAAUUACCAGGCCAGGAGCUCAAACAAGCAAAACCACGAUUAGCGUGCUGCAGGCCUGACAGAGCAGAGCAGGGCUGGCUUCUGCGCCUGGGCCCCUGGCUUGCUGUCACCUCACCUGGGAGCUCCCAGCAUCCCCAGCCGCAGGAAUGGCUGCCCUGGAGCAGCUUCUUAGAGUGUAAAUGCAACUGUCACCAACAGGGGGCGCUCACAGCCCACGCCACGGGCUUUCUAGUUGUGCAGGAAGAACAACACUCAGACUCGGAUGCGAAUGGCCCAACAGCAGCUCUGCCAACCGCGGGAAGGUGUUUCGAAGCCUCACCUCACCCAAUUGGCACAGCCGUCGUCUGCUCCUCUGACCACCACAACACGUUACUCGGACCUGUUUUAUAACUUGCACCAUCUCCUGCCUGGUCC
Molecule: non-coding RNA, 7417 nt
Organism: Oryctolagus cuniculus (rabbit)
Lineage: Eukaryota; Metazoa; Chordata; Mammalia; Lagomorpha; Leporidae
Source: RefSeq, a predicted model, not a curated record